Molecule: ribosomal RNA, 511 nt
Filed under: uncultured bacterium
Lineage: Bacteria
Description: bacterial SSU rRNA
Rfam family: Bacterial small subunit ribosomal RNA
Source: RNAcentral
AGAGUUUGAUUAUGGCUCAGGAUGAACGCUGGCGGCGUGCUUAACACAUGCAAGUCGAACGGAGUUUUUAAACGGAAGUUUUCGGAUGGAAGUUUAGAAACUUAGUGGCGGACGGGUGAGUAACGCGUGGGUAACCUGCCUCAUACAGGGGGAUAACAGUUAGAAAUGACUGCUAACACCGCAUAAUAUAGCGAAACCGCAUGAUUUUGCUAUCAAAUAUUUAUAGGUAUGAGAUGGGCCCGCGUCUGAUUAGCUAGUUGGUGGGGUAAAGGCCUACCAAGGCGACGAUCAGUAGCCGGCUUGAGAGAGUGACCGGCCACAUUGGGACUGAGACACGGCCCAAACUCCUACGGGAGGCAGCAGUGGGGAAUAUUGGACAAUGGGGGAAACCCUGAUCCAGCGAACCGCCGCGUGAGUGAAGAAGUAUUUCGGUAUGUAAAGCUCUAUCAGCAGGGAAGAUAAUGACAGUACCUGACUAAGAAGCCCCGGCUAACUACGUGCCAGCCGCAGC